CAGAAAAGCUUCAAGAGGGAGGCUUAAAGAGAGCAUUUUAGAGUAAGGCACAACAGGAUUGCAAGGUUUUGGCAAAGCGGGCUGUGUGCAGAUGUAGACAACUGAAGCGUUCCUCUAUUACGUUGCUUAAAGAUGUACUACAAAAGACAUGAUAUUUAAGUCAACCAUAGACUAUGAGAAGGAAUUUGAGGAAUUAUAAGCGAAAAAUAAUCUGCUAAUAGAGCGCAGUGGUAAUGAAACUAGGAGCAUUUUCAGUUUACUCACCUUCCUGAAUGGGUCUAGGAAAGGACUGGGCUUGCAGAUAGAAGCGGUGGCCAUGCAACCACGUGAUUCAUUGUCAUGGUGAGGGUUGUAUGCAUUAUCUAGACCACGUGAAACUUGGAACUCUCAAUUGAAGUCUUGCUGUGUAAUAACAUAGUUUUGAAUUUGGUGGAAGUAAAAAGAAAUUUGACAGCUUUAAACAUCAU
Molecule: long non-coding RNA, 467 nt
Filed under: Bos taurus (domestic cattle)
Lineage: Eukaryota; Metazoa; Chordata; Mammalia; Artiodactyla; Bovidae
Description: long non-coding RNA NONBTAT011478
Source: RNAcentral